Manis pentadactyla (Chinese pangolin) is the source of this 400-nucleotide long non-coding RNA. RefSeq lists it as uncharacterized. The transcript is spliced from 2 exons. Lineage: Eukaryota; Metazoa; Chordata; Mammalia; Pholidota; Manidae. The record is from RefSeq and is a predicted model, not a curated record.
CUGGCAACUAAGAGGAGAGAGAAUGGUGAGACUUAUGGGAGGAUGGCUAACCGAGUCCCUGAGCAGAGGGAAGAGACUACGGCAUAGGAAACCCAGGAUCCUGAACAUUUUGGGAUUUCCAAAAUAAAUUGUGGGACUUUGGAGAGCAAAGAGGCUGUCUGCAUCCCUGGAAGGGGAAGAAAAGAUGUAGAACAUGCUAGAGAAGACCAGGACAGUGGGCACACACUCACUUUUCCAUUUGCUUCUCCUUCAACAACUCCUUGACAGGCUUGAUGGGUUUUCCACUGCGGAUCAAGUCUGAGACCUACAACAAAAAAGAAGUGUUACUGAAAACCAGAAUUUCUAGUAUGAAAGAAGGAAAUACUGAAGAGGAUAAGUAAAAGAAUAUUCAAGGUGAGAA